This 76-nucleotide transfer RNA is filed under the name Armatimonadota bacterium. RNAcentral describes it as "Armatimonadetes bacterium (activated sludge metagenome) tRNA-Lys". It matches the Rfam family "tRNA". From Rfam's summary of the family: Transfer RNA (tRNA) molecules are approximately 80 nucleotides in length. Their secondary structure includes four short double-helical elements and three loops (D, anti-codon, and T loops). Further hydrogen bonds mediate the characteristic L-shaped molecular structure. tRNAs have two regions of fundamental functional importance: the anti-codon, which is responsible for specific mRNA codon recognition, and the 3' end, to which the tRNAs corresponding amino acid is attached (by aminoacyl-tRNA synthetases). tRNAs cope with the degeneracy of the genetic code in two manners: having more than one tRNA (with a specific anti-codon) for a particular amino acid; and 'wobble' base-pairing, i.e. permitting non-standard base-pairing at the 3rd anti-codon position. The record is from RNAcentral. Lineage: Bacteria; Bacillati; Armatimonadota.
GGAUCGUUAGCUCAGUUGGUAGAGCAGCUGACUCUUAAUCAGCGGGUCAUAGGUUCGAGUCCUAUACGGUCCACCA